Molecule: long non-coding RNA, 439 nt
Organism: Ipomoea nil (Japanese morning glory)
Lineage: Eukaryota; Viridiplantae; Streptophyta; Magnoliopsida; Solanales; Convolvulaceae
Exons: 3
Source: RefSeq, a predicted model, not a curated record
GCAAAGAUAGCAGUAUCUUGUUUGAAUUCCAAUCCACAAUAUCGGCCAACUAUGCAACAAGUUUCUAUGUUGCUAUCCAAGGAAAGGGAUUUUCCAAAUUUUUCUCUUGAUAUCACCUUAAGCCAGUUGUUUGGUCUUGAAUUUCCAAAUCCAUAAAUUUUUACACUAUUCAAGUUUGGAACAAUGUAUGUGGUUUUAACAUGAGGAUGCAUAUGGAAGUAGGCAAUCUUGGAACCCGUACAUAGAUCGAUCAUAAACAAAUGGUAUCAAACUGCCAGUCAAACAAGAUUGACAAUGGACAUCGCUAAGAUGGAUGCAGGAGAUGCAUCAUUCACUGCACUGCUGUUUUCAAGUUUCUCAGUUGCUUCUAUACCCAAGGAAAGAGAUCACAAUAAGGCAGACAGUUGAAUUGCUUCGUCUGAAAUUUCCUACUAUACAC